This is a long non-coding RNA of Magnolia sinica, 1510 nucleotides long. RefSeq lists it as uncharacterized. The record is from RefSeq and is a predicted model, not a curated record. The transcript is spliced from 3 exons. NCBI's taxonomy places the organism in Eukaryota, Viridiplantae, Streptophyta, Magnoliopsida, Magnoliales, Magnoliaceae.
UACUCGAACACCCUUGCAAAGACAAAGCACGAACAUACAUCAAACUAUAUAUACACCAAACAAAAAUACACACUAAAACAAACUACAAAGUAUUAAUAAAACUGCCAAAACGUAACCACUUAGAACUCAGAUCUAACCCCACCCCUAAAGGGACCCUACGCUCCAAAUGGACGAAGUGGAUCCUCUAAAGCCAUCACCAAAUGACCACAACAUGGCGCGUGUGCACCUGUUACGUUAAUAGCCACAAACCAUACAAAAUAAACCCAGUCAAAGCAUGCUUUGACCGGACUACGCCCGAGCCUCUUCGUCUUACACGCUCACGCGUUGGGAACGUUUAAAAUGCCCGCAAUUCGGACGGAGAUGGGGUCCACCACCAAGGAUUAAUCAAGAAAUCCGAGACGUCCAUCGAAUGUGGGUCCCACAUCCGAUCAAAGCCUGGAAGUUCUUGACCAUGAAGAGCCAGAGAACGGCCCCAACUCUGUGGACGAACAGAAAUCCGCGCCAAGGACCUGAGAAUGAGGGAUUCCCGACCGACAUACAUCGCUGCCCAAAGAAGAUCUGGACCGUUCGAUUCUCGAGGAUGGAUGUUCCGAUCCCUUCCAACAAAGGAGUCGGGUCGAGCGGGAUCGAAGAGAGACACUCCGUCUUUCUCUCCAACACGGAUGUCUUACGGAAAGACCUUCUCGAAAGAACUGCUGUAGAGCGAUCCGGGCUGCUGAUCUUAAGGACCAGAAAUCACUCGCAACAGGAUCCAGACCGUCUGACGGAGCUGAUCAGACAAGGGAUGAGGCUAGCCAGAAACGCCAUUAAAAUAGGAACCCACCUGCCUAAUAAACGCCAAACGAUAGAUGAUGUUCUGAACGAUUAAGAAGGCCAUUACCUAAUGAAUGACCCACUAAGAUUUCAGAAGGAAGAAAAGAUAAGAACGGGAGUAAUACCAUUAUGUAAACACCACCGCAAUUCUCGACCGAACGAGAUUACGUCACUCGUUCCGCUGUUCGACUGCAUCGGAGAUACGCAGUAAGAAUCCAGAAAACAGAUAGCUAUAAAAGGGGAUCGAUCCCUCCGUUCGAGAGAUACAUGCAAUUGGAGAAAGAGAUGGGAAGAACGGAUGAAAGAAAAAAGGGAGCAAAGAAAGAAAGAAAGAAAGAAAGGGAGAAGGAAAGAACGAAGAAAGAAGAAGCGCCGAAUUCCGUCGAAAUUCAACGGAUGCCAGCAGCAAUUCAGGUGAAGCGAUAUUGGUCCUAAAGCUACCCAAACAUUAAAACCUAAAAAGACAUCCAAACAACCAAGAUGAUGCAGGUGAUAAACAGAUUGAAGACCCAGAGAACCACUUCCCCGAGGAAGACUAUAUUGAAUAGACAAGAAAAUAGUUUCAUGAUUUGUUUUAUUUACAUUUCUGUUGUAACUUGAAUUUGUAAUAAACUCCCAUCUGAGUGAGCAUUUAAUGAUUUGUUGAACUUUCUUUUCCUUUAAAUUGGAAUAAUAAUUACAGAGAAUUUCCUUUUCA